CAUUAUCGUAUAACAGAGAUGCCCAGGGCUGUCGCUGACCUUCACAGGUCGUGCACGCCCAAAGGUGCUCUCUUAUGUCCAUCUCACCCCUUUGUGCAUCACCGCGUGUGCCCCCCUUAUUGGGCUUGUUCCAAAGGGGGGUUCGCGUUUUAACACAGACACCAAUUUUUAAGAGCAUGUGUAGAAUGUCUUACUUUUUGCGAUUAUGCGCAAUCAAUACAACUUUCAACAACGGAUCUCUUGGCUCUCGCAUCGAUGAAGAACGCAGCGAAAUGCGAUACGUAAUGUGAAUUGCAGAAUUCAGUGAAUCAUCGAAUCUUUGAACGCACCUUGCGCCCCUUGGUAUUCCGAGAGGCACACCCGUUUGAGUGUCGUGAACACCCUCAACCUUCUUGGUUUCUUGACCAGGAAGGCUUGGACUUUGGAGGUUUUCCUUGCUGGCCUUCCUUCGAAGCCAGCUCCUCCUAAAUGAAUUAGUGGGGCUCGCUUCGCCGAUCCUUGACGUGAUAAGUAUGCUUCUACGUCUUGGGUUUUGAACGAACCCGCUUCAAACGGUCUUUGAACAAAGACGAUGUUCGAGUUGCAUCGUGUGACUCGAACACAGCGACCUUGACCUCAAAUCGGGUGAGACUACCCGCUGAACUUAAGCAUAUCAAUA
RNAcentral lists this ribosomal RNA (658 nucleotides) under Russula sp. LM3048. Its description in RNAcentral is "eukaryotic LSU rRNA". The stretch from base 221 to 374 matches the Rfam family "5.8S ribosomal RNA". Lineage: Eukaryota; Fungi; Basidiomycota; Agaricomycetes; Russulales; Russulaceae. The record is from RNAcentral.